Molecule: long non-coding RNA, 2217 nt
Organism: Balaenoptera ricei (Rice's whale)
Lineage: Eukaryota; Metazoa; Chordata; Mammalia; Artiodactyla; Balaenopteridae
Exons: 6
Source: RefSeq, a predicted model, not a curated record
GCGGAGGUGGUCUGGGGCCAGGGGUGGGGAGGAGUGAUCCAAGUCCGCCCUCCCCCCCCCCCCCCCCCAGCCAAUUAUCGACGGAUAAAACCCGCGGCGGAAAUUUGCAGGAAGAGUUAGGGUUUGUGUGUGGCGGGGUGGGGAAUUCCCGAGGGGUGUCGACGGCUGGAUGGAAACCCCCGCGCGGGCUGCCCUUGCGGCGCUUCUUCAGCUAUACAACCAAGAUACCUGAUUGACUUGUGCAAGAUCAGACUUCCACCAGGCUUGCUCCUGCCCUAGGACCAUUGCGUUCGCUGGUUCCUCAGCCUGGAAUGCCCGCGCUCAGAUCUCCACAUGGGUAACUGUGAUCAACCGUCUUAAUGCCAAGUUCACCUUCUCAGGAGGACUUUCUGGCUCACGAUAUCUAAGACAUUUCUCAAGCACCUUCUGUGUGCUGAUGGAGUCUGAGACAGACAAGAUUUCUGCCUUCACGGAACUUAAAUUGUAAUUUAGAGGAGACAGAUGGCACGCACACUCUGACAUCCGAGCUUCGUUCUUCCCUCUGGCUGGAGCACAUUUACCCCAGAGAGCUGUGUGGGCCACUCCUCCAACUCCUCCAGGUCUUUGCUCACAGGUCAUCUUCCUGGGCACUCUGGAGCUGGAAUAGAUUUUCCAGAGACGUCUCAAAUCAAAGCCAGGGGGCCAGGUCUUUGUACUCCACAUGGACCAGUAAAGUGAUGUAGAGUGACCUCAGGAAUGUGGCAUGACCUUGGUCAUAUUCCAGCCUUUAGAGUCAGAAGAUGUGUUAAAGGAUGCAUUUGGCCACUUAUGCAGAGGGGUCUGCAUAUAUACCUACAGGUGCACACACAAAACCCUCAGGAUCUGAUACCUCACUAAGAUUUUCUAUGAUUAUUGCCUUGAAAAUAUUUUCUGGAAAUCUGGGAGAGACCUUCAAGAUGGCGGAGGAGUAAGAUGUGGAGAUCACCUUCCUCCCCACAAAUACAUCAAAAAUACAUCUACAUGUGGAACAGCUCCUACAGAACACCUAUUGAACGCUGGCAGAAGACCUCAGACCUCCCAAAAGGCAAGAAACUCCCAAGUACCUGGGUAGGGAAAAAGAAAAAAGAAAAAACAGAGACAAAGAAUAGAGACGGGACCUGCACCAGUGGGAGGGAGCUGUGAAGUAGGAAAGGUUUCCACACACUAGGAAGCCCCUUCGCGGGCGGAGACUGCGGGUGGCAGAGGGGGGAAGCUUCGGAGCCACAGAGGAGAGCGCAGCCACAAGGGUGCGGAGGGCAAAGCGGAGAGAUUCCUGCACAGAGGAUCGGUGCCGAGCAGCACUCACCAGCCCGAGAGGCUCGUCUGCUCCCCCGCCGGGGCGGGCAGGGGCUGGGAGCUGAGGCUCGGGCUUCGAAGGUUGGAUCCCAGGGAGAGGACUGGGGUUGGCGGCGUGAACACAGCCUGAAGGGGCUAGUGCACCACAGCUAGCCGGGAGGGAGUCCGGGAAAAAGUCUGGAGCUGCCGAAGAGGCAAGAGACUUUUUCUUGCCUCUCUGUUUCCUAGUGCGUCAGGAGAGGAGAUUCAGAGCACAGCUUAAAGGAGCUCCAGAGACGGACACGAGCCGCGGGUAUCAGCGCGGACCCCAGAGACGGGCAUGAGACACUAAGGCUGCUGCUGCCACCACCAAGAAGCCUGUCUGCAAGCACAGGUCACUCUCCACACCUCCCCUCCCGGGAGCCUGUGCAGCCCGCCACUGCCAGCAUCCCGUGAUCCAGGGACAACUUCCCGGGAGAACGCACGGAGUGCCUCAGGCUGCUGCAACGUCACGCCGGCCUCUGCCGCUGCAGGCUCGCCCUGCAUCCGUACCCCUCCCUCCCCCCGGCCUGAGUGAGCCAGAGCCCCCGAAUCAGCUGCUCCUUUAAACCCCUCCUGUCUGAGCAAAGAACAGACGCCCUCAGGCGACCUACACGCAGAGGCGGGUCCAAAUCCAAAGCUGAACCCCGAGAGCUGUGCGAACAAAGAAGAAAAGGGGAAAUUUCUCCCAGCAGCCUCAGGAGCAGCGGAUUAAAUCUCCACAAUCAACCUGAUGUACCUGCAUCUGUGGAAUACCUGAAGAGACAACAAAUUAUCCCAAAAUUGAGGCAGUAGACUUUGGGAGCAACUGUAGACUUGGGGUUUGCUUUCUGCAAAUAAUUUGUUUCUGGUUUAUGUUUAUCUUAGUUUAGUAUUUAGAGUUUA